CGACCGGCGCACGGGUGAGUAACACGUAUGCAACCUGGCCGUGACAGAUGGAUAACCGGGAGAAAUCCCGCCUAAUACAACAUAAUGCCGGGAGGGGACAUCCCCUGCCGGUCAAAGGGGGCGACCCCGGUCAUGGAUGGGCAUGCGGCGCAUUAGGUAGUUGGUGGGGCAACGGCCCACCAAGCCGACGAUGCGUAGGGGUUCUGAGAGGAAGGUCCCCCACAUUGGAACUGAGACACGGUCCAAACUCCUACGGGAGGCAGCAG
Molecule: ribosomal RNA, 266 nt
Filed under: uncultured bacterium
Lineage: Bacteria
Description: partial 16S ribosomal RNA
Rfam family: Bacterial small subunit ribosomal RNA
Source: RNAcentral